This 408-nucleotide long non-coding RNA is filed under the name Varanus komodoensis (Komodo dragon). RNAcentral describes it as "lncRNA (ENSVKKG00000015611.1)". The record is from RNAcentral. Lineage: Eukaryota; Metazoa; Chordata; Lepidosauria; Squamata; Varanidae.
UGAUAACAACUUACAAAGAGAAUCCAAAUUUCAAUGAACUUGUCAAAUUUGUUAAUGUGGAGCUUCCAGAGCAGGUGUACUUGCACCCACCUCUCAGUAUCUUUGUGGUGGAGAAGAGAGCCUUUGGACGCUCCGUCAUGGUGGGAACCCACAUAGUUUCCCAUAUUAUGAAAUUUGCUCCAAAAGAGCUAGAUGAGUUGGAAGAAGAAGCCGAUAGGCCAUCCAAGACACGGAAAGCCUCAGCUCGACCCAACAUCUCCCAAACAGUGAUGAAUCUUGGUGCAGCUGCUGGCCAAACAGUGAUAAACAUGGGUGCAGCUGCUGGAAAGACAGUAAUAACCAUUGGUGCAGUUGCAGGAGACAUAGGCAGCAAAGCAAAUCCCCUGAAGCUUGUACAGGUGAGUGUGG